AGCUCCUGAAACUUUCUCCGCGUUCGCUUCAAUGCUGCAAAGCUUUGGAGGUGAAGCAACAUUACGGGUAACUGACUUUUUCGCCGUCAUAGACGAAAUCGGGGAAUUAGCGGCAUGGUCCGAUAGACAGAAGUUAGGGAUUGCUAAAUGCAAAUUAACAGGCAUAGCACGGGAGUACGCUUGGCACGACUUUGCGAUUAAAAAUAUAACAAAUUAUCAGCAGUUCAAGAGUUUAAUGAUAAAGUGAUUCAUAGGAGACCCUUAUACAAUUAGGUUGCAGAAAUUUCAUAAUUGCGUACAAAGGAGAGGAGAUGUUCAAACAUUUGGGGUAAGGCUGCAAAGUUUAGCCGCAGAAACAACGAUAGAUGUGGAAAGCACAUCAGAACAAGAGAAAACAGUAAUCGAGCAAUGUCAGAAUAAAGAAUUGAAUGAAAGGCUGCGCGUACAAUUCUUGAACGGAAUUAAUGACCAGAUUAAGCGUGCUGUCAUGUCUCAUG
Molecule: long non-coding RNA, 497 nt
Filed under: Androctonus crassicauda
Lineage: Eukaryota; Metazoa; Arthropoda; Arachnida; Scorpiones; Buthidae
Source: RNAcentral